RNAcentral lists this ribosomal RNA (781 nucleotides) under Microcystis flos-aquae IFCC-MF01. RNAcentral describes it as "bacterial SSU rRNA". It matches the Rfam family "Bacterial small subunit ribosomal RNA", at positions 36 to 855 of the family's 1533-position model. The record is from RNAcentral. Lineage: Bacteria; Bacillati; Cyanobacteriota; Cyanophyceae; Chroococcales; Microcystaceae.
UUUUGUCAAGCGGUGGCAUAACAGUAGCAGUCGACGGGAAUCUUCGGAUUCCAGUGGCGGACGGGUGAGUAACGCGCAAUAAUCUAACUUCAGGACGGGGACAACAGUUGGAAACGACUGCUAAUACCCGAUGUGCCGCAAGGUGAAACCUAAUUGGCCUGGAGAAGAGCUUGCGUCUGAUUAGCUAGUUGGUGGGGUAAGAGCCUACCAAGGCGACGAUCAGUAGCUGGUCUGAGAGGAUGAGCAGCCACACUGGGACUGAGACACGGCCCAGACUCCUACGGGAGGCAGCAGUGGGGAAUUUUCCGCAAUGGGCGAAAGCCUGACGGAGCAACGCCGCGUGAGGGAGGAAGGUCUUUGGAUUGUAAACCUCUUUUCUCAAGGAAGAAGUUCUGACGGUACUUGAGGAAUCAGCCUCGGCUAACUCCGUGCCAGCAGCCGCGGUAAUACGGGGGAGGCAAGCGUUAUCCGGAAUUAUUGGGCGUAAAGCGUCCGCAGGUGGUCAGCCAAGUCUGCCGUCAAAUCAGGUUGCUUAACGACCUAAAGGCGGUGGAAACUGGCAGACUAGAGAUCAGUAGGGGUAGCAGGAAUUCCCAGUGUAGCGGUGAAAUGCGUAGAGAUUGGGAAGAACAUCGGUGGCGAAAGCGUGCUACUGGGCUGUAUCUGACACUCAGGGACGAAAGCUAGGGGAGCGAAAGGGAUUAGAUACCCCUGUAGUCCUAGCCGUAAACGAUGGAUACUAGGCGUGGCUUGUAUCGACCCGAGCCGUGGCCGAAAGCAA